GAAACUAACAAGGAUUCCCCUAGUAGCGGCGAGCGAAGCGGGAAGAGCUCAAAUUUAUAAUCUGGCACCUUCGGUGUCCGAGUUGUAAUCUCUAGAAAUGUUUUCCGCGUUGGACCGCACACAAGUCUGUUGGAAUACAGCGGCAUAGUGGUGAGACCCCCGUAUAUGGUGCGGACGCCCAGCGCUUUGUGAUACAUUUUCGAAGAGUCGAGUUGUUUGGGAAUGCAGCUCAAAUUGGGUGGUAAAUUCCAUCUAAAGCUAAAUAUUGGCGAGAGACCGAUAGCGAACAAGUACCGUGAGGGAAAGAUGAAAAGCACUUUGGAAAGAGAGUUAACAGUACGUGAAAUUGUUGGAAGGGAAACGCUUGAAGUCAGACUUGCUUGCCGAGCAAUCGGUUUGCAGGCCAGCAUCAGUUUUCCGGGAUGGAUAAUGGUAGAGAGAAGGUAGCAGUUUCGGCUGUGUUAUAGCUCUCUGCUGGAUACAUCUUGGGGGACUGAGGAACGCAGUGUGCCUUUGGCGGGGGUUUCGACCUCNUCACACUUA
This 543-nucleotide ribosomal RNA is filed under the name Rhodotorula mucilaginosa. RNAcentral describes it as "eukaryotic LSU rRNA". It matches the Rfam family "Eukaryotic large subunit ribosomal RNA", at positions 61 to 619 of the family's 3401-position model. The record is from RNAcentral. Lineage: Eukaryota; Fungi; Basidiomycota; Microbotryomycetes; Sporidiobolales; Sporidiobolaceae.